RNAcentral lists this ribosomal RNA (380 nucleotides) under uncultured bacterium. RNAcentral describes it as "bacterial SSU rRNA". It matches the Rfam family "Bacterial small subunit ribosomal RNA", at positions 42 to 450 of the family's 1533-position model. The record is from RNAcentral.
UCAGGCCUAACACAUGCAAGUCGAACGGUCCUUUUCGGAGGAUAGUGGCGGACGGGUGAGUAACGCGUGAGAAUCUGCCUUCAGGAUUGGGAUAACGUCUGGAAACGGACGCUAAAACCGAAUGUGCCGAGAGGUGAAAUAUUUAUAGCCUGAAGAUGAGCUCGCGUCAGAUUAGCUAGUUGGUAGUUUAACAGACUACCAAGGCGACGAUCUGUAACUGGUCUGAGAGGAUGACCAGUCACACUGGGACUGAGACACGGCCCAGACUCCUACGGGAGGCAGCAGUGGGGAAUUUUCUGCAAGGGGCGAAAGCCUGACGGAGCAAUACCGCGUACGUUAAAAGGGCUUUUGGGUUGUAAACCUCUUUAUCAGGGAAGAAU